RNAcentral lists this ribosomal RNA (452 nucleotides) under uncultured bacterium. RNAcentral describes it as "bacterial SSU rRNA". It matches the Rfam family "Bacterial small subunit ribosomal RNA", at positions 340 to 784 of the family's 1533-position model. The record is from RNAcentral.
UACGGGAGGCAGCAGUGGGGAAUAUUGCACAAUGGGCGCAAGCCUGAUGCAGCCAUGCCGCGUGUAUGAAGAAGGCCUUCGGGUUGUAAAGUACUUUCAGUCGUGAGGAAGGUGUUAAGGUUAAUAACCUUAGCAAUUGACGUUAGCGACAGAAGAAGCACCGGCUAACUCCGUGCCAGCAGCCGCGGUAAUACGGAGGGUGCGAGCGUUAAUCGGAAUUACUGGGCGUAAAGGGCACGCAGGCGGUUAAUUAAGUUGGAUGUGAAAUCCCCGGGCUUAACCUGGGAAUGGCAUUCAAGCUGGUUAGCUAGAGUCUUGUAGAGGGGGUAGAAUUCCAUGUGUAGCGGUGAAAUGCGUAGAGAUGUGGAGGAAUACCGGUGGCGAAGGCGGCCCCUGGGACAAAGACUGACGCUCAUGUGCGAAAGCGUGGGGAGCAAACGAGGGAUUAGAUA